RNAcentral lists this transfer RNA (70 nucleotides) under Popillia mutans. Its description in RNAcentral is "tRNA-Val". The record is from RNAcentral. Lineage: Eukaryota; Metazoa; Arthropoda; Insecta; Coleoptera; Scarabaeidae.
CAGGUUAGAGCUUGUUAUAAAGCAUUUUAUUUACAUUAAAAAGUUAGUUGUGAAAAUCAAUUUUACCUGA